This 449-nucleotide ribosomal RNA is filed under the name uncultured bacterium. RNAcentral describes it as "partial 16S ribosomal RNA". It matches the Rfam family "Bacterial small subunit ribosomal RNA", at positions 338 to 795 of the family's 1533-position model. The record is from RNAcentral.
CCUACGGGGGGCUGCAGUGGGGAAUUUUGGACAAUGGGGGCAACCCUGAUCCAGCCAUGCCGCGUGAGUGAAGAAGGCCUUCGGGUUGUAAAGCUCUUUCGGCCGGGAAGAAAUCGCUCAAGCUAAUACCUUGGGUGGAUGACGGUACCGGAAGAAGAAGCACCGGCUAACUACGUGCCAGCAGCCGCGGUAAUACGUAGGGUGCGAGCGUUAAUCAGAAGUACGCAGCGGGCAGCGUGCGCCGGCGGCGAAAUCCCCGGGCUUAACCUGGGAACUGCGUGUGGGACUGGGGUGCUCGAGUGCGGCAGAGGGGGGUGGAAUUCCACGUGUAGCAGUGAAAUGCGUAGAGAUGUGGAGGAACACCGAUGGCGAAGGCAGCCCCCUGGGUCGACACUGACGCUCAUGCACGAAAGCGUGGGGAGCAAACAGGAUUAGAUACCCUUGUAGUC